Salvia hispanica is the source of this 667-nucleotide long non-coding RNA. RefSeq lists it as uncharacterized. Lineage: Eukaryota; Viridiplantae; Streptophyta; Magnoliopsida; Lamiales; Lamiaceae. The record is from RefSeq and is a predicted model, not a curated record.
ACCGGAAAUCAACAACUACAGAAGACGAUUCUGCGGAUUUUUCUCACUCGCUCGACUCAGCAACGUUUUAAUCGGUGGAAGAUUGCAAUCAACAACAAGCAACUACACGGAGAAGAUGAAUUCUGCCGGAUUUUGCUCACUCGCUUGACGCAGCAACAUUUUAAUCGGUGGAAGAUUGCAAUCAACAACAAGCAACUACACGGAGAAGAUGAAUUCUGCCGGAUUUUGUUCACUCGCUUGACGCAGCAACGUUUUAAUCGGUGGAAGACUUCCAAUCGACAACAAGCAACUACACAGAGAAGACGAAUUCUGCCGGAUUUUGCUCACUCGCUCGACGCAGCAACGUUUUAAUCGGUGGAAGACUUGCAAUCAACAACAAGAUGGGUCACCAUGAUUUGAGAAACUCUGCAACACUGAAAGAUAUAGAGAAUGACAAGGAGAAGCAUACGUGGAAGAGAAAAUAUGACAUUUUUUAGUUUUUUUUCCAGAUAUGUUGUUUUUUAUACUUGUUUUAAGACGUACAUUAUUUAGUAGUUAAGUAUUACAUUGUUUUGGAGUUGUCCUACUUUAUAAUUUUAUCUCUACUAUUAUUAUGUUAUAAGUUUACUAUAUACGUUUGACCCAUGGAUUGGUAAACCCAAAGGGCAUAAAUUCAAGUUCUCUGUAA